Molecule: long non-coding RNA, 2157 nt
Organism: Micropterus salmoides (largemouth bass)
Lineage: Eukaryota; Metazoa; Chordata; Actinopteri; Centrarchiformes; Centrarchidae
Exons: 3
Source: RefSeq, a predicted model, not a curated record
UUGGCUGCUAGUUUCUGUUUCAUAUCAGUGGCAGCUGAAUGCAGUCAGACAGCAGCGUGAGGCAGAGGAAGCUGCCAUCAGCUGCUGGACUUCUACUAUCAGUCCACUAGAUGGAGGCAUGAAGCUGCAGCCCAGCACACACACCUGCAUGGAGGAGCGGUGAUAACAGGUGUUGUGCCGAAUUCUGCCUGCCUGCCGAGAAUUGCAUGCACCUCGCGAGUGAAAACGGUCAUUUAUGCUGAGAAAAGAGGUGGAUGCAAAUCUCUGCAGGUAGCCUACAAAAUUUGAUCUGCCGAAUUAUGCAUCCACCUCUUUAGGUCCUUUUACGGAGAUACCGGAAGAGGUGGGGAGAUUCAGUGUGUGUUAGGUUACGACGUGUUGGAAUAAAGUCAAGCUAAGACAACGUACCGCCUCCUCAUCUGUAUUAAGGAUAUACAAAGAUAGCAACAGGUUUACGUGACAGACACUUUGCUGAUCAAACGGCGUUAUCACCACAUAUAUUUACUGAAUGUCAAGGAAUGGUACUUCUACUAAGUGUAUUAAAAUAUUAAAGACUCUAAACGUUCAUAAAAUAUUUACUUAGAAUCAUUUAUCACCAUUGAUGAAGGCCACAAAGAAUAUUAUAGCGUUUAAAAGCAGCAUUUGGAGGUGCACGCAAUUCUCGGCAUGUCGACAAAACUCUGCUGAACACCGGCCGAGCGCUUAGAGUCUCAGACAGCGGCUCGUCUCCGCCUCCUGCACAGGCUGCUUCAGGCAGGAAAAGAUGCCUUCAGUCAUUAGUACAAAACAAAUUACUUCAUGUUGGAUAAGCUUCAGAUGAAAAGUCAUAACUAGGUGAUGUUCUAAGAAACAAACCAAGUGUGUUGGUCCAUCGUGACACUGCUGCAGGAGAGGAGGAGAAGUGACUGCUUCCACUCACACCAUCAAUAAUCCAAUCAUAGGAAAGAUGCCCAAAUUCAUUUGAAAUACAUUGUUCUUCCAAAUUAGUACCCAUAAUGCAGCUCUUUUAGUUUUCUAUCACAGCUCAUGUUUAAAAUUAGUCUGUUUUGUUUUAAACCCUCUGAACCUGGAAAAGCUCAAAAAUCCAGCAUCGUAACUGCUGCUUAAAAUCGCACUGCAAGAGAAGCACUUAGGGGACUUAAUCUGUUAAUAAUCUGGAUCCAUUUGGUUCCAAGGUGGAAGGAAUGUAUCGGAGCUUCCCACUUUGGUAACACAUACAUGUUUUGGUGUUGGUGCUGUGAACAACAUGCAGGAAGAUGACAACAACGAUGCACCAGGUGCACAUUUUAGACAGAGAAGAUGGAUGGUUUGAAAGAGGUGUCAAGGAAGGAAUCUACACCAGGGUUGAGAAGCCGUCGCUUAACAGAGUCAGCCACCACUUAUCCCCCACUUACAACGCUGUCCUAUCAUCACUUCCCAGGAAACUUAACAAACGUUACCUCUUGGCCUCAGGUGAGGGUGACUGGUUUCUAUCAGAUCAAUGUAGUGAAGCAAAAGGUACAAUAUUCCUUUCUGAAAUGCAGUGGAGCAGAGCACAAAGUAUACAUGAAAUAGAAACGCUCAAGCAAAGAACAGAACCUCCAAUGUGUGCAGAAACUGCAUACACUGAGUACCUCCUCACUUCCCCUAAUGCUUGAGUUCAGUAAUGAAGCAGCUGGUCUUAAAUAAUUUACAGUAAUUGUCCUGACUGUACUGAUAUGAGUCUUCUUGGUAGAACAUUUUGGCCCUAUUUCUAAUAGGGUCAACGUCUGCAUAUAUAAUACACAUAGAAAUCUAUACUUUAAAUGUGUUUAUUCUCUACAGCAUAAGAAACAUUUAAACACAAAUACUGCAGGAAUACCUUUUUUUAUGACUGGUUUAGAUGAUGUUUUCCCUGACGUCCACUGGAUGGCAGCAAUCUCUCUACAUUCAGAAACAGGGAAAUCCAACUUUUGUACUUUUUAAUGAACAUUUCUGCUAAUGUUUGUGUUGUUUAUUAGUUUUGAGUGUGAGGAACAGUUCCAAAAGACUAAUAACAGACACUACUAAGCCAUUUCCAAAUGCAGAAAAUAUUUAUUUAUUUGGGGGUUGAUUCAUAGUUUUGUCUUUUUGAUUGUUAAAUCAAAUGUACUAUUAUAAUCUGUCUCCACAAAAUAAUUUUACUUGUGGUUGUAUUUA